Molecule: ribosomal RNA, 31 nt
Filed under: Orbicella faveolata
Lineage: Eukaryota; Metazoa; Cnidaria; Anthozoa; Scleractinia; Merulinidae
Also listed under: 3 other names
Description: partial large subunit rRNA
Source: RNAcentral
GACCUCAGAUCAGGCAAGGCUACCCGCUGAA